This 72-nucleotide transfer RNA is filed under the name Ictidomys tridecemlineatus (thirteen-lined ground squirrel). RNAcentral's name for it is "Spermophilus tridecemlineatus (thirteen-lined ground squirrel) tRNA". It matches the Rfam family "tRNA". Rfam says of the family: Transfer RNA (tRNA) molecules are approximately 80 nucleotides in length. Their secondary structure includes four short double-helical elements and three loops (D, anti-codon, and T loops). Further hydrogen bonds mediate the characteristic L-shaped molecular structure. tRNAs have two regions of fundamental functional importance: the anti-codon, which is responsible for specific mRNA codon recognition, and the 3' end, to which the tRNAs corresponding amino acid is attached (by aminoacyl-tRNA synthetases). tRNAs cope with the degeneracy of the genetic code in two manners: having more than one tRNA (with a specific anti-codon) for a particular amino acid; and 'wobble' base-pairing, i.e. permitting non-standard base-pairing at the 3rd anti-codon position. Lineage: Eukaryota; Metazoa; Chordata; Mammalia; Rodentia; Sciuridae. RNAcentral also lists the same sequence under 1 other name. The record is from Rfam by way of RNAcentral.
UGGGUUGUGGCUCAGUGGUAGAGCACUUGCCUCAAAUGUGUGAGGCACUGUGUUCGCUUCUCAGCACUGCAU